This 29-nucleotide non-coding RNA is filed under the name Talaromyces flavus. RNAcentral also lists the same sequence under 5 other names. The record is from RNAcentral. Lineage: Eukaryota; Fungi; Ascomycota; Eurotiomycetes; Eurotiales; Trichocomaceae.
CGUAGGUGAACCUGCGGAAGGAUCAUUAC